GACGAACGCUGGCGGCGUGCUUCAUACAUGCAAGUCGAACGAGAAGCUGACUUCGGUCAGUGGAAAGUGGCGGACGGGUGAGUAAUAUGUAGGAAAUCUGCCUUUAGGAGGGGGACAACAGAGGGAAACUUCUGCUAAUACCCCAUAUGAGCGUAGCUGAAAUGCUAUUCUUGAAAACUCCGGUGCCUAAAGAUGAGCCUGCAUCUGAUUAGCUAGUUGGUAGUGUAAUGGACUACCAAGGCGACGAUCAGUAGCUGGUUUGAGAGGAUGAUCAGCCACAAUGGGACUGAGACACGGCCCAUACUCCUACGGGAGGCAGCAGUAGGGAAUUGUGCGCAAUGGGCGAAAGCCUGACGCAGCAACGCCGCGUGAACGAUUAAGCCCUUCGGGGUGGAAAGUUCUGUCAGUGGGGACGAAACUUGACGGUACCCACAGAGGAAGCACCGGCUAACUCCGUG
RNAcentral lists this ribosomal RNA (458 nucleotides) under uncultured bacterium. RNAcentral describes it as "partial 16S ribosomal RNA". It matches the Rfam family "Bacterial small subunit ribosomal RNA", at positions 28 to 507 of the family's 1533-position model. The record is from RNAcentral.